RNAcentral lists this ribosomal RNA (448 nucleotides) under uncultured bacterium. Its description in RNAcentral is "bacterial SSU rRNA". It matches the Rfam family "Bacterial small subunit ribosomal RNA", at positions 329 to 794 of the family's 1533-position model. The record is from RNAcentral.
UCCCAGACUCCUACGGGAGGCAGCAGUGGGGGAUAUUGCACAAUGGGGGAAACCCUGAUGCAGCGACGCCGCGUGAGUGAAGAAGUAUUUCGGUAUGUAAAGCUCUAUCAGCAGGGAAGAAGAUGACAGUACCUGAGUAAGAAGCCCCGGCUAACUACGUGCCAGCAGCCGCGGUAAUACGUAGGGGGCAAGCGUUAUCCGGAUUUACUGGGUGUAAAGGGAGCGUAGACGGAUGGAUAAGUCUGAAGUGAAAGCCCGCGGCUCAACUGCGGGACUGCUUUGGAAACUGCCCGGCUAGAGUGCUGGAGAGGUAAGCGGAAUUCCUAGUGUAGCGGUGAAAUGCGUAGAUAUUAGGAGGAACACCAGUGGCGAAGGCGGCUUACUGGACAGUAACUGACGUUGAGGCUCGAAAGCGUGGGGAGCAAACAGGAUUAGAUACCCUCGUAGC